UGGGGAAUAUUGGACAAUGGGCGCAAGCCUGAUCCAGCCAUGCCGCGUGGAUGAUGAAGGCCCUAGGGUUGUAAAGUCCUUUCGGCGGGGAAGAUAAUGACGGUACCCGCAGAAGAAGCCCCGGCUAACUUCGUGCCAGCAGCCGCGGUAAUACGAAGGGGGCUAGCGUUGCUCGGAAUCACUGGGCGUAAAGCGCACGUAGGCGGACUCUUAAGUCGGUGGUGAAAUCCUGGAGCUCAACUCCAGAACUGCCUCCGAUACUGCGAGUCUCCGAGUCCGGGAGAGGUGAGUGGAACUGCGAGUGUAGAGGUGAAAUUCGUAGAUAUUCGCAAGAACACCAGUGGCGAAGGCGGCUCACUGGCCCGGUACUGACGCUGAGGUGCGAAAGCGUGGGGAGCAAACA
Molecule: ribosomal RNA, 403 nt
Filed under: uncultured Rhodoplanes sp.
Lineage: Bacteria; Pseudomonadati; Pseudomonadota; Alphaproteobacteria; Hyphomicrobiales; Nitrobacteraceae
Description: bacterial SSU rRNA
Rfam family: Bacterial small subunit ribosomal RNA
Source: RNAcentral